AAGAAAUGUUAAAUCACCUUACGUAAACACAUAGCCGGUGCUGUGACACCGAAUGAUGGAAAGAGAAAACAACGUUAUUUUUUUGUGUGUAGUCGUUACAGCUGAGCCAUCAGACUGCAGGUGGCAACCAGUUGGUCGAGAUAAAGUUUUUUAGCCUCGACUAAGUAUCCGUCGAUUUCUGUUGCUGUGUAGCUAUUUCAGAUACUGCUGGAACCAAAAAAGUAAACGGCCAUCUACUGGAUGUUGGUUAAAAAAAACUUUUGCCACCCGAUUGUAGCAAAUGUUUUUAUCACCCAUGGUCCCGGAUCCGGCAAAAAUACGGCGCACUUAUAUAAAGAUGAAGGAAAUUCAUGGCGUAAUGUCCUCAGAAGACUAUGUUGCACACCCCUUCUGGCCAGAGGCUUUGUUCUCAGGUUGAC
Long non-coding RNA from Armigeres subalbatus, 419 nucleotides. RefSeq lists it as uncharacterized. The record is from RefSeq and is a predicted model, not a curated record. The transcript is spliced from 3 exons. Lineage: Eukaryota; Metazoa; Arthropoda; Insecta; Diptera; Culicidae.